AUGGAAGCAUGGUUUCUUGCCCAGGUCUAGCUGAUUAGCCUGCUCCCAAAAUAAAGCAUUGAUGUACCAUCUGGAGAAGGUCAUGAAGGAGGAAAGAGAAAGAAUGGAAAGGAACAGGAUGCAGAAAGGCUGCCAUGUAGAAGACUCCAAAUUUCAAUGAGAAUACAUGCUAGGGAUGGGCUGUUGAAAAACUAACAUGUUGGUCCUCAGAAUGAAGAGAGAAAGAUGACUAUGAAGCCCGUACAUGGAGAAUCAGAAGUCCUGACAAGCUUUUCCUCUGCUUCUUGACGUCUACAUGUUUCUGUCCUGCCCCCUCUCCAACACACUACUAUCCACUAUUCCCAGGCUAUAGAAGAAAUAAACCUGAAAAAAAACCCACCUUCAAAAUCUGGAUCUUUCCCUUCCACUGAAAAAUAAUGUUUCUGAAGAAUCUUUCCCAUAGAGCACAGCUCCUUUGAAUACAACAGGUGUGUAUUGAUGGGAUAUGAGUUCAGCUGGUGCAGUUGCAAUGUCUUUGCUGAGGGGCUGAAGGCAGCAAU
Motacilla alba alba is the source of this 539-nucleotide long non-coding RNA. RefSeq lists it as uncharacterized. The record is from RefSeq and is a predicted model, not a curated record. NCBI's taxonomy places the organism in Eukaryota, Metazoa, Chordata, Aves, Passeriformes, Motacillidae. The transcript has 4 exons.